Phalacrocorax carbo (great cormorant) is the source of this 1341-nucleotide non-coding RNA. Lineage: Eukaryota; Metazoa; Chordata; Aves; Suliformes; Phalacrocoracidae. The record is from RefSeq and is a predicted model, not a curated record.
GCCGCAGGCUUUUGAAUGUAUAGCUUAGUGGGAAGAGAAAAAAAAAAUUGUCAGUCAUCUAUCUGUUACACUUCAUUCACUACUGUAUUUCUGUAUUGUGGGGUUCUUCCUACAAAAGAACAAAAAUUUUACUGAGUCCUAUUCAUUCCAUUUGAACUGUAGAGUGUUAAACAAAAACAAAUAUGAAAAAAAAUUAAGCUACCCCUAAAUCUUUAUUCUGUCUUUGUUCCGAGUACUUAAGAGUCAAAAUGUUGAGAAAUAUAUCAUCUUUAUGCCAUUGUACAUUUGGGAAAAAUCAAGACUUCAUAAACUUGUGGUAAUCUAUGUACUAUACAAAAUGAAGAAUUUACCAAAAGUUAAAGAAAAUGUUAAAAAGAAGUUAGUAACUCUAUGACUGCUACAACCUCUAUAACUAAGGACGCUGGACUUCAAACUGUCCUGUUUUAUGGGAAAAAAGCCCCACUUUCUGGGAUGUAAAACAACUGUUUUUUGAACUAUUGAAACAAAAACUUCCGGUAAAAAUCUUGUGUUUCUUUUCCUUCUGCUAUGUGACCAGCUAGCAAAAUAUGUCUGAUUUAAAGUGAUAUCUGUACCUUCCACUUACUGUGAGGCCAAUACCAUAGCUGCUGUGGGAAUGUUCAGCCAUUUUUGGAGAUCCUGUAGUUCCACUGGUAAAAUAGAUAGCCAUUGGAUCUUGACACUUUGUGGUCACACAGUGAUGAUCAGAAGGAGCAUUUCUUAAAAGAAGCAAAAUUAAUAAAGUGCUUGUCAGGGUGACCUACAUAUUUUUGAAAAUGUUUAACCAAAAUAACUGCAGCAGUCAGAAGUGUCAUAAACAAUGAUAUUUUUCCACUGUCAUGGUUUUGGCUGGGAUAGAGUUAAUUUUCUUCACUGUAUCUGGUAUAGUGUGUUUUGGAUUUAGUAUGAGAGUAAUGUUGAUAACACGCUGAUUUUUUAGUUGUUGCUAAGUAGUGCUUAUAAUAAUCAAGGGGUUUUCGGCUCCCCAUGCUCUGCCAGGGGCACAAGAAGCCAGGAUGGGAGGGGACUCAGCCAGGACAGCUGACCUAAACUGGCCAAAGGGAUAUUCCAUACCACAUGCCAUCAUGCCCAGUAUAUUAACUGGGGGGAGUUGGCCGAGGGGAGGUGUGAUUGUGGCUUGGGGUCCGGUGACGUGGGUCAGCGAGUGGUGAGCAGUUGCAUCACUUGUUUAUUUGAUUCCACCACACCCCUGCCCCAGGUUUUGCCUCUGUCUCAUUCUUUUCCUUUUAAUUAUAUUAUUGUUGUUAAUAUUAUUCUUACUAUUACCAUUUUAUUUUAAUUAUUAAACUGUUCUUGUCUCAA